CAGCAGCCGCGGUAAUACGUAGGGGGCUAGCGUUGUUCGGAAUUACUGGGCGUAAAGCGCACGUAGGCGGAUAUUUAAGUCAGGGGUGAAAUCCCAGAGCUCAACUCUGGAACUGCCUUUGAUACUGGGUAUCUUGAGUAUGGAAGAGGUGAGUGGAAUUCCGAGUGUAGAGGUGAAAUUCGUAGAUAUUCGGAGGAACACCAGUGGCGAAGGCGGCUCACUGGUCCAUUACUGACGCUGAGGUGCGAAAGCGUGGGGAGCAAACAGGAUUAGAUACCCGCGUAGUCCCUGUCUCUUAUAC
This 301-nucleotide ribosomal RNA is filed under the name uncultured bacterium. RNAcentral describes it as "partial 16S ribosomal RNA". It matches the Rfam family "Bacterial small subunit ribosomal RNA", at positions 509 to 807 of the family's 1533-position model. The record is from RNAcentral.